GUCGAGCGGUAGAGAGAAGCUUGCUUCUCUUGAGAGCGGCGGACGGGUGAGUAAUGCCUAGGAAUCUGCCUGGUAGUGGGGGAUAACGUUCGGAAACGGACGCUAAUACCGCAUACGUCCUACGGGAGAAAGCAGGGGACCUUCGGGCCUUGCGCUAUCAGAUGAGCCUAGGUCGGAUUAGCUAGUUGGUGAGGUAAUGGCUCACCAAGGCGACGAUCCGUAACUGGUCUGAGAGGAUGAUCAGUCACACUGGAACUGAGACACGGUCCAGACUCCUACGGGAGGCAGCAGUGGGGAAUAUUGGACAAUGGGCGAAAGCCUGAUCC
This 326-nucleotide ribosomal RNA is filed under the name Pseudomonas sp. SK256-N7. RNAcentral's name for it is "bacterial SSU rRNA". It matches the Rfam family "Bacterial small subunit ribosomal RNA", at positions 61 to 389 of the family's 1533-position model. The record is from RNAcentral. Lineage: Bacteria; Pseudomonadati; Pseudomonadota; Gammaproteobacteria; Pseudomonadales; Pseudomonadaceae.